Molecule: transfer RNA, 73 nt
Filed under: Rattus norvegicus (Norway rat)
Lineage: Eukaryota; Metazoa; Chordata; Mammalia; Rodentia; Muridae
Rfam family: tRNA
About the family: Transfer RNA (tRNA) molecules are approximately 80 nucleotides in length. Their secondary structure includes four short double-helical elements and three loops (D, anti-codon, and T loops).
Source: Rfam by way of RNAcentral
GAGAUGAUGGCUCAGUGGUUAAGAGCAAUGGCUGCUCUUCCAGAGGACCUGGGUUCAAUUCCCAGUCCUUACA